Molecule: long non-coding RNA, 405 nt
Organism: Rosa chinensis
Lineage: Eukaryota; Viridiplantae; Streptophyta; Magnoliopsida; Rosales; Rosaceae
Exons: 3
Source: RefSeq, a predicted model, not a curated record
GUCCAAUUCUUCACCGACUCAGUACAUAAGAUCCCAUAGCUGGCAGAUAAGAUUGACAGCACAGACAAUUUAACUUACUUCAGGUAAACAAAGGAUUAAGGCUCUUAAACACACUAAUGUUAGGAUCAAGGUCCUAAUAGAAUAGGUGUUGUGCGUUGUGAUUGUGUUUAUUUUCCUUUUGUGGUUUGUUUCGGUGGACGCGACCUUUUUUCUUUAUCUUCGUUUUUGCCUCAGCUCUGCAUUCUUGGGAGAGAGUUGCAGAGAAAGGAGUUCAUGUUAGUAACGAGAGGGAAGACGGAGAUUAGAAUUAGAUCGAGGAAAGCAGGAGGUGUUGGGCUCAUUGUCGCGAUCUUCUGUCUCUCUCUUUUUCUCUUCAUUUUUGGCUGGGUUCUUCGCAUGUAGAGG